AGUGAACGCUGGCGGUAGGCCUUACACAUGCAAGUCGAACGGCAGCACAGGAGAGCUUGCUCUCUGGGUGGCGAGUGGCGGACGGGUGAGGAAUACAUCGGAAUCUACUCUGUCGUGGGGGAUAACGUAGGGAAACUUACGCUAAUACCGCAUACGACCUACGGGUGAAAGCAGGGGAUCUUCGGACCUUGCGCGAUUGAAUGAGCCGAUGUCGGAUUAGCUAGUUGGCGGGGUAAAGGCCCACCAAGGCGACGAUCCGUAGCUGGUCCGAGAGGAUGAUCAGCCACACUGGAACUGAGACACGGUCCAGACUCCUACGGGAGGCAGCAGUGGGGAAUAUUGGACAAUGGGCGCAAGCCUGAUUCAGCCAUACCGCGUGGGUGAAGAAGGCCUUCGGGUUGUAAAGCCCUUUUGUUGGGAAAGAAAUCCAGCUGGCUAAUACCCGGUUGGGAUGACGGUACCCAAAGAAUAAGCACCGGCUAACUUCAUGCCAGCCGCCGCGGUAA
This 506-nucleotide ribosomal RNA is filed under the name uncultured bacterium. RNAcentral's name for it is "partial 16S ribosomal RNA". It matches the Rfam family "Bacterial small subunit ribosomal RNA", at positions 29 to 523 of the family's 1533-position model. The record is from RNAcentral.